This 1336-nucleotide ribosomal RNA is filed under the name metagenome. RNAcentral's name for it is "bacterial SSU rRNA". It matches the Rfam family "Bacterial small subunit ribosomal RNA", at positions 8 to 1339 of the family's 1533-position model. The record is from RNAcentral.
AGAGUUUGAUCCUGGCUCAGAUUGAACGCUCGCGGCAUGCCUUACACAUGCAAGUCGAACGGUAACAGGGAGCUUGCUCCGCUGACGAGUGGCGAACGGGUGAGUAAAGUAUCGGAACGUACCUUUCAGUGGGGGAUAACGUAGCGAAAGUUACGCUAAUACCGCAUAUUCUGUGAGCAGGAAAGCAGGGGAUCGCAAGACCUUGCGCUGAUUGAGCGGCCGAUAUCAGAUUAGCUAGUUGGUGAGGUAAAGGCUCACCAAGGCGACGAUCUGUAGCGGGUCUGAGAGGAUGAUCCGCCACACUGGAACUGAGACACGGUCCAGACUCCUACGGGAGGCAGCAGUAGGGAAUUUUGGACAAUGGGGGCAACCCUGAUCCAGCCAUGCCGCGUGAGUGAAGAAGGCCUUCGGGUUGUAAAGCUCUUUCGGCCGGGAAGAAAUCGUAUGGGUUAAUACCCUGUGCGGAUGACGGUACCGGCAUAAGAAGCACCGGCUAACUACGUGCCAGCAGCCGCGGUAAUACGUAGGGUGCGAGCGUUAAUCGGAAUUACUGGGCGUAAAGCGUGCGCAGGCGGUUUUGUAAGACAGGCGUGAAAUCCCCGGGCUCAACCUGGGAACUGCGCUUGUGACUGCAAGGCUAGAGUAUGGCAGAGGGGGGUGGAAUUCCACGUGUAGCAGUGAAAUGCGUAGAGAUGUGGAGGAACACCAAUGGCGAAGGCAGCCCCCUGGGCCAAUACUGACGCUCAUGCACGAAAGCGUGGGUAGCAAACAGGAUUAGAUACCCUGGUAGUCCACGCCCUAAACGAUGUCAACUAGGUGUUGGGUGGGUAAAACCAUUUAGUACCGGAGCUAACGCGUGAAGUUGACCGCCUGGGGAGUACGGCCGCAAGGUUAAAACUCAAAGGAAUUGACGGGGACCCGCACAAGCGGUGGAUGAUGUGGAUUAAUUCGAUGCAACGCGAAAAACCUUACCUACCCUUGACAUGCUAGGAAGCCCGCAGAGAUGUGGCCGUGCCCGAAAGGGAACCUAGACACAGGUGCUGCAUGGCUGUCGUCAGCUCGUGUCGUGAGAUGUUGGGUUAAGUCCCGCAACGAGCGCAACCCCUGCCAUUAGUUGCGACAUUUAGUUGAGCACUCUAAUGGGACCGCCGGUGACAAACCGGAGGAAGGUGGGGAUGACGUCAAGUCCUCAUGGCCCUUAUGGGUAGGGCUUCACACAUAAUACAAUGGUCGGUACAGAGGGAUGCCAACCCGCGAGGGGGAGCUAAUCCCAGAAAGCCGAUCGUAGUCCGGAUUGUAGUCUGCAACUCGACUGCAUGAAGCCGGAAUCGCUAGU